GCAGGUUGAAGGUUGGGUAACACUAACUGGAGGACCGAACCGACUAAUGUUGAAAAUUAGCGGAUGACCUGUGGCUGGGGGUGAAAGGCCAAUCAAACCGGGAGAUAGCUGGUUCUCCCCGAAAGCUAUUUAGGUAGCGCCUCGUGAACUCAUCUUCGGGGGUAGAGCACUGUUUCGGCUAGGGGGCCAUCCCGGCUUACCAACCCGAUGCAAACUACGAAUACCGAAGAAUGUUAUCACGGGAGACACACGGCGGGUGCUAACGUCCGUCGUGAAGAGGGAAACAACCCAGACCGCCAGCUAAGGUCCCAAAGUCAUGGUUAAGUGGGAAACGAUGUGGGAAGGCACAGACAGCCAGGAUGUUGGCUUAGAAGCAGCCAUCAUUUAAAGAAAGCGUAAUAGCUCACUGGUCGAGUCGGCCUGCGCGGAAGAUGUAACGGGGCUAAACCAUGCACCGAAGCUGCGGCAGCGACACUAUGUGUUGUUGGGUAGGGGAGCGUUCUGUAAGCCGUUGAAGGUGUGCUGUGAGGCAUGCUGGAGGUAUCAGAAGUGCGAAUGCUGACAUAAGUAACGAUAAAGCGGGUGAAAAGCCCGCUCGCCGGAAGACCAAGGGUUCCUGUCCAACGUUAAUCGGGGCAGGGUGAGUCGACCCCUAAGGCGAGGCCGAAAGGCGUAGUCGAUGGGAAACAGGUUAAUAUUCCUGUACUUGGUGUUACUGCGAAGGGGGGACGGAGAAGGCUAUGUCAGCCGGGCGACGGUUGUCCCGGUUUAAGCAUGUAGGCGGAGGUUCCAGGUAAAUCCGGUACCUUUUAACGCUGAGGUGUGAUGACGAGGCACUACGGUGCUGAAGUGAUAAAUGCCCUGCUUCCAGGAAAAGCCUCUAAGCAUCAGGUAACACGAAAUCGUACCCCAAACCGACACAGGUGGUCAGGUAGAGAAUACCAAGGCGCUUGAGAGAACUCGGGUGAAGGAACUAGGCAAAAUGGUGCCGUAACUUCGGGAGAAGGCACGCUGAUAGGUAGGUGAAGUCCCUGCGGACGGAGCUGAAAUCAGUCGAAGAUACCAGCUGGCUGCAACUGUUUAUUAAAAACACAGCACUGUGCAAACACGAAAGUGGACGUAUACGGUGUGACGCCUGCCCGGUGCCGGAAGGUUAAUUGAUGGGGUUAGCGGCAACGCGAAGCUCUUGAUCGAAGCCCCGGUAAACGGCGGCCGUAACUAUAACGGUCCUAAGGUAGCGAAAUUCCUUGUCGGGUAAGU
This 1260-nucleotide ribosomal RNA is filed under the name Enterobacter hormaechei. Its description in RNAcentral is "Large Subunit Ribosomal RNA; lsuRNA; LSU rRNA". It matches the Rfam family "Bacterial large subunit ribosomal RNA", at positions 740 to 1981 of the family's 2925-position model. RNAcentral also lists the same sequence under 1 other name. Lineage: Bacteria; Pseudomonadati; Pseudomonadota; Gammaproteobacteria; Enterobacterales; Enterobacteriaceae. The record is from RNAcentral.